GAGGAUGUGGCUCAGUGAUAGAACACUUACCUAGCAUGCAAGAGGCCCUGGGUUUGAUACCCAGCACCGCCA
RNAcentral lists this transfer RNA (72 nucleotides) under Heterocephalus glaber (naked mole-rat). It matches the Rfam family "tRNA". Rfam says of the family: Transfer RNA (tRNA) molecules are approximately 80 nucleotides in length. Their secondary structure includes four short double-helical elements and three loops (D, anti-codon, and T loops). The record is from Rfam by way of RNAcentral. Lineage: Eukaryota; Metazoa; Chordata; Mammalia; Rodentia; Bathyergidae.